Molecule: small RNA, 3592 nt
Filed under: Oryza sativa Japonica Group (Japanese rice)
Lineage: Eukaryota; Viridiplantae; Streptophyta; Magnoliopsida; Poales; Poaceae
Description: sRNA Os12g0547401
Rfam family: MIR812 microRNA precursor family (bases 1854-2059)
Source: RNAcentral
GUACCGUGGCAUAAAAAUAACAUAAAAUGAGCCCCUGUAGUCCUGUGGUGAAGUUUAGACUUCUCUUCAGAUAACCAAUUUAUCACCGAGUUAUGUCGAAAAAAUUGUGAUAAUGCAUAAAUUACAUCAUAAUAAAUUUGAUGCGAUAUCUGUUCAAAUAACCAGAGCUCCCUGUCAACUUUAAACAAGGAAUGUUUGAAGAGUACUAUGGGACAUAAUAUUGUUGAAACAGCUGUACUCCAUAGCUCUUCUGUAAGAGAUUUUACUUGCAAUUCAUUGAGGUGAAUACCACAUCAUUGAUGACUUGAUGUUUGUCUACUGCUAGAUGUAUAUUGGAUCUGUUUACUGCUAAUUUACCGUUCUAUUUUGCUCAUCUUGUUUACCACUUUCUCUCUGAUUUUUCCUUCCGAAUUGGUUUGGUUGAUUGCACUCACUUGCAGUGAUAUGAUUAGAGUCUAGAGCAGCUUCACCAAAGGUGAGAAUGCCCUUAUCAACGCCAAAUCUUCACCAGAAGGCAUGAGGCUGUUAAAUUAUAAAGGAACCUGAGAACAAACAGGUAAACCAUACAUAUAUUCAUGCACACUCCUGUUUGAAUUCAAAAGUUGGUCAUCUAUCAUUUGCACUCCUUUUACUCCCAAUGCCUCCUAAUCCCAAGUUCAUCCUUGAAAAUUACCAUGAGCAUGCACUGAAUCCAUCUCACAUUGUUAUCUGUUCAUGAAAUGCUUUUCUUCUCCUUUUGAGCUCUCUAAAGUUCUUUCGAAAUUCUGGAGACAUGAAAACUAGCACAUAUCUUUUGAUUGCACAUUCUCUCUUGUGUGAGAACGUUGCUUGCCUUCUAAUCUCUCUUCCUCCUGUGUCACAGGAACAUUUUGCAUCUAUAAUUUCCCAAAUAAAAUUUGUUAUCGGGUACAACAAGUUAGAGACCUGCAUCCAUUUAUAGACAACAGUGAGACACAUUCAGGAAAUCAGGACCAGGGGUAGGGGAGAUGAAAAGUUGAUUUUGCCAGAACUUUUCAUAUAAGCCCCCUUAAUAGUUUCUGAAUUACUGAAAUGAUUAUCUCAUUUGAAUUCCAUAACCGAAUCGAAAAUGCAUCUGGAAAAGAUUGAAAUAACGUUUCCUGUUACACGAGAGUACAAUCAAAGUACAAGGGUUCCCUUUGAUAAGAGCCAAUUUAUCAGUAAGUGUUGUAAUAUCAAUUAUAUUAUGGGAACACGAUCUACCAGAUAAGCUUCAAGAAAAUGUUGGACAAACGACUUGACUUCUUCGGUUUGUUGCAUUAGAGAAUAGCUAAGUCGAUCCGAGAGCUGACAGCUAGAAGCUAGUAAAUCAUGCAUAACCAUAAGCUUCAUGUUUACUACCUUUUGAUUUUGGGAUGCCCAAAACUUCAUUUCAUCUCUCCUUAAUUUUAUUUCUGAAACCUCCCAGUCCCAUAUAUGUAACCACACAUAUGUUAAGCAUUGGAUCUCUUAUUGAUAAAUACUCAUGGGAGAGUAUUUUCUUGUCCUCUUUUGAACUCUCUGUUCUCUAGUAACUUACAUAUGUAGAAGUGAAAAAACUCUCAUGUGGUCUGUGGGAGAGACCUCAAAACCUCACUUGCCCUUUUAUCUCAUUUCCGCACUCUCCAUCUGUUCUUGUGAGUACUUUGGUCUAAGCCAAAAGAUAUCUUGUCAAAAUUUGUGUUACUGUUUUUUUACUUUUGCUCCCAAAUAAAGUCUUAAUACUUCUGAGGUUGGAUGCCUGUACUGUGUAUUGAUGAAGCAUGCACUUGCAUGUAGUACUAUACCAGCUGUAAGCACCGAAAAUUAACCUUCUUCAGUUAAAACUAUGCAAAUUUAUACUCCCUCCGUUCCAAAAUAAAUGCAGUUUUACACUGUUUAUAUCCAACGUUUGACCAUUUGUCUUAUUUGAAAAUUUCUUGUGAUUAGUAUUUUUAUUGUUAUUAGAUGAUAAAACAUAAUUAGUACUUUAUGUGUGACUAUUUUUUUAAUUUUUUCAUAAUUUUUUCGAAUAAGAUGGACGGUCAAACAUGGGGCAUAGAUACUCACAGCUAAACUUAUUUUGCGACAGGUAGUAUGAAGCUAACAUGGCAAAUGGAGGAGCAGUCUAUAUUAUAAUUAGCAAACAAUAUGAAUCAUUGACUGAAUACCCUUUAGUGAAGAAAAAAAAUAGACAAGUCCCUGAUCUAGUAGUUUUUCAUAAUUAGAACAUACAUAUUCAUACUCCACAUUCAUUCGAUCUUUUAGAAUAAAACUAGAAAGGAAGCCCGCGCAGAUGCGCGUGCAUCUUAUUUAUUGUUUAUAUAAAUAAUGCUAAGAGAAUUAAGUCAUAUCUCACCAUAUACAUAUAACAAAUUAUAGAUUUUGCCUCGUAGUAACAAAAAAUUAUGUUGUGAAAUAGACCGUAGACUUUAAUAUAAAUGAUAAGAAUGUCUCUUAGAUUUAAUCAAAAUUCACUUUUGUCCAGGUAAGUGUAAACUUUGCUAUUAUCACCAUUACUUAUUAUCAUUGUUCUUAAAAGAUAGAUAUGAUUUUAAUAAAUGGAACUCCAUCUAAACCACCAAAAUAAGUCUAAUACAUCAUUAAUACAUAAAACAUUAUUUCAACUAUGUACCUAAAUGUUUAUGCCAACACUUAUUUCUAAAUCUACUGAUAAAUAUUCUAAAACUAAUGCUUCUAUUGGUUAUUAGGAUAGCACCGUUAAAAAAUAGACAUGUCCCUCUAAUGGGGAGAACCAUCAAGAUUCCUUCAAGCAUGGGUUGACAUAGUCGUGCCUCUCACAGUCUCACAACCAGUGUGGAGCACAAUUUGAAUUAAUCCUAGUUCACUAUCGGCAUCCUUAAAGACGAUUGCACCAGUAAGUAGGAAGUUGAGCACUAUUAUCAAUGGUGGCCUCCACUGAGCCUGCCUCAAGUCAACCAUAUGUGUGCCCCACGCUAUAGUUGUGGUAUCCAUGCUCGGUGCCCUCUAGGGAAACAAAGAGAAGAUGGAUGUGAUGUAAAUAGUUAUUCAGUUAUUCCCAUAAAAUAUAGUUUCUUUAUGUUUUAUUUAGACACAAUUUUGUUUAUGGUGUUAAUCAAAGCUGCUUAAUUUUUAUGGUACAAAUACAAUGUCAUCUUUAGAAAUGAGUGAAGUUGAUCACUAAAAAUAUAUAUAGCUAAACAAACACGUGACCGUGACAAUGUUCAGAGUAUUAUUUCAUUGUUUAUAUUUUGACAAAGAUCUAUAUUUUAGCAUCUUGUUUUUUUUCAUCACCUAUUGUCCAUAAUUGCAUGAGACACCUUUACUAAUUCUAAAAUUUUAUUUAUUUCCCAAAAUUAUUUAUAAUAACUAAUUUGUUGAGGUGCACUUAUAGUUAUGUCACUGUGGUUUAUGGCAUUACAUUCAUCAAUUAUCACUUAUGACCAUUAUAUUAUAAUUCCUCUACUAUAAGAAAAUAUAUCAUGAAUAGUUUCAUGCUCAUGUUAUAGGAUUGUUCAUUUGUUAUCAAACCUAUUUGGCAAAGAAAAACAUAUAUGACCAUAAUUCUUGUGAUAGAUUAAGGGGUCGUAUUAUAGCAAGAUCAUUGCCUGAGCAUACCAAUCCAAUAGUUAUG